This 200-nucleotide unclassified non-coding RNA is filed under the name Hymenogaster sp. Its description in RNAcentral is "partial internal transcribed spacer 2". Lineage: Eukaryota; Fungi; Basidiomycota; Agaricomycetes; Agaricales; Hymenogastraceae. The record is from RNAcentral.
UUAAGUUCAGCGGGUAGUCCUACCUGAUUUGAGGUCAAAUUGUCAUGUAUUGUCCAAAUGAACAGACGGUUAUAAGCAGUGCACAACCCAUUGCAGAUAUCCACGGCGUAGAUAAUUAUCACACCAAAUAGACAGUCCACGCGGGGCACCAGCUAAUGCAUUUAAGGGGAGCUGACCUCUGAAGAAGCCGGCAAAAGAGA